This 377-nucleotide unclassified non-coding RNA is filed under the name uncultured Parachlamydiaceae bacterium. RNAcentral describes it as "contains 16S-23S intergenic spacer region". The record is from RNAcentral. Lineage: Bacteria; Pseudomonadati; Chlamydiota; Chlamydiia; Parachlamydiales; Parachlamydiaceae.
UCCUGGUUAACCCAGGCAGUCUCACUAGAGUUCCCAUCCGAAAUGCUGGCAACUAGUGAUAAGGGUUGCGCUCGUUGCUGGACUUAACCAAACACCUCACGGCACGAGCUGACGACAGCCAUGCAGCACCUGUGCAGCAGCCCCGAAGGGAAGCACCGUUUCUGGUGCGGUCUACUGCAUGUCAAGCCUGGGUAAGGUUCUUCGCGUUGCAUCGAAUUAAACCACAUACUCCACUGCUUGUGCGGGUCCCCGUCAAUUCUUUUGAGUUUCAGCCUUGCGACUGUACUCCUCAGGCGGUAUACUUAUCGCGUUAGCUACGGCACAAUCGGGGUUGAGUCCAAUUACACCAAGUAUACAUUGUUUACAGCUAGGACUAC